RNAcentral lists this long non-coding RNA (876 nucleotides) under Homo sapiens (human). RNAcentral's name for it is "HSALNT0072843". The record is from RNAcentral. Lineage: Eukaryota; Metazoa; Chordata; Mammalia; Primates; Hominidae.
CAGGCUCAAGGUACAGAAUUCUGCCAACUCCAGGUAAAGGAGUUUUUGAGACUUUCUUGGAAGAAAUGGACUUGAAAAACAGAGUUCAAAGUAAGAAAUAAAAGCAGAAAAAAAUAAAAUGUUGUCCUCUGAUGAAAACAUGGCAGAUGUAUUCCCGUUGCUUCAACCCACUCCUUGAAGACAUCGUGAUUCUUUCACUCACGACCUUCUGCUAAUAUGUCAAAGGGCAUUAAAUCUUAUAUGACUGUGAGCUCUAAAUCCAAUAUGACUGUUUUCGUUUUAAGAAGAGGAAAACUUGGAAAUAGACACAGACACAUUAGGGAGAAGGCCAUGGGAAGACAGAGGCAGGGACUGGCAUGACGUAUUUAUAAACCAAGGAAUGUCUGAUAUUGCUGGCAACCAUAGAAGAAGCAAGGAAGAAUUUUUUCCAGAGACCUCAGUGGAACCAUGGCCCUGCCUACACCUUUUUUUCUGAUUUCUAGCCUCUAAAACUAUGAAAGAAUACGUUAAUGUUGUUUUAGCCACUCAGUUUCUUUUUUUUUUUUUUUUUUUUACCAUAGCCCUAGAAAUCUAAUAUACCUGUUAAGGUGGUGUAUGCCAAAUUUCUCUACUGUAAAGCUACUCCCUUAUUGAAAGAGCUACUGUAAAGCCAUUCCCUUAUUUUCAAACAAAUCACUACAUCCAGUCCACAUUCAAGGGGAAGGAAAUUAAACUUUAUCAUCUAGAGGAAGGAGUGUCAAAUAAUUUGUGGACACAUGGUAAAACCACCACAAUAACUAAUAAACGCUUUUGGGAAAUAUGUCAAGUCUUUGCAAAUAUUCUGCUUCUCUUAAAAGGUUUGCUCAGUAAUUUUAGUAUUCAUCAGUGGAUUUUGCC